CACGUAGUUAGCCGGGGCUUCUUACUCAGGUACCGUCAUUUAUUCUUCCCUGCUGAUAGAGCUUUACAUAACGAAUUACUUCUUCACUCACGCGGCGUCGCUGCAUCAGGGUUCCCCCCAUUGUGCAAUAUCCCCCACUGCUGCCUCCCGUAGGAGUCUGGGCCGUGUCUCAGUCCCAAUGUGGCCGUCCGCCCUCUCAGGCCGGCUACUGAUCGUCGCUUUGGUAGGCCGUUACCCUGCCAACUGGCUAAUCAGACGCGGGCCCAUCGUAUACCGUCUCGGCUUUUCACACUCCAGUAUGCACUGCUGUGCGCUUAUGCGGUAUUAGCACCUAUUUCUAAGUGUUAUCCCCCUGUAUACGGUAGGUUGCCCACGCGUUACUCACCCGUCCGCCACUAAGAUACAUUUUCCUUCAGACGAAUCCUCAUUCCAAUAUAUCCCCGUUCGACUUGCAUGUGUUAGGCACGCCGCCAGCGUUCAUCCUGAGCCAGGAUCAAA
RNAcentral lists this ribosomal RNA (498 nucleotides) under uncultured Butyrivibrio sp. RNAcentral describes it as "partial 16S ribosomal RNA". Lineage: Bacteria; Bacillati; Bacillota; Clostridia; Lachnospirales; Lachnospiraceae. The record is from RNAcentral.